AACACGAUGUCGCAGUGGUUAGCGCGCACUCCCCAACAGGAUGAGACGUGAGUUCAACUCUCGCCUGAGGUUU
This is a non-coding RNA of Parelaphostrongylus tenuis, 73 nucleotides long. NCBI's taxonomy places the organism in Eukaryota, Metazoa, Nematoda, Chromadorea, Rhabditida, Metastrongylidae. The record is from the annotation of a GenBank genome assembly.